AACGAACGCUGGCGGCAUGCCUAACACAUGCAAGUCGAACGAUCCCUUCGGGGAUAGUGGCGCACGGGUGCGUAACGCGUGGGAACCUGCCCUUAGGUUCGGAAUAACUCAGAGAAAUUUGAGCUAAUACCGGAUAAUGUCUUCGGACCAAAGAUUUAUCGCCUUUGGAUGGGCCCGCGUUGGAUUAGCUAGUUGGUGGGGGAAAGGCCUGCCAAGGCGAGGAUCCAUAGCUGGUCGGAGAGGAGGAUCAGCCACACUGGGACUGAGACACGGCCCAGACUCCGACGGGAGGCAGCAGUGGGGAAUAUUGUACGAGGGGCGAAAGCCUGAUACAGCAAUGCCGCGGGAGUGAGGAAGGCCUUAGGGUUGUAAAGCUCUUUGACCCGGGGUGAUAAUGACAGUACCGGGUGAAGAAGCCCCGGCUAACUCCGUG
RNAcentral lists this ribosomal RNA (433 nucleotides) under uncultured bacterium. Its description in RNAcentral is "partial 16S ribosomal RNA". It matches the Rfam family "Bacterial small subunit ribosomal RNA", at positions 29 to 507 of the family's 1533-position model. The record is from RNAcentral.